CCUCUCCUGCCAGUUCCUAUUACGCUCCACUUCUUUUUUCUUCUCUUCUUUCCGUGCCCAGUUUUUUUUCCUUCUGUUUCUCUGAUAACAACGGCGUCGCUUCUACUGGAUAUGGCAGGGAAGCUGAUGCAUGCCGUUCAGUAUAGCACCUAUGGAGGAGGCGCCGCUGGUUUAAAGGUUAAUUGUUUUUUUAACCAAAUCUUGUUAGCGUAAUUAUAUGUCCCUUUUCUUUUCUUUGAUCACCAUUUAGUUAGUUAGUAAUUGUUGAAACAUGGAGAUGAAUUAUAGAUUGUUGCCCCCAUUUCUUUUUGUUUCUAAAUUAAAUAAUAAUAAUGAUGGUGGUGGCGGAGGAGGAGAAGGAUUGGAUGUGAUGUGAGUUUUGCUUUAAUUUUUGAUAAAAUAGUUAAAUAAUGAAGGUGUUUGAAAGUGUGAAAUGGUUAUUUUUAAAAUAUUUCUUUUAAAAAUAUGUUAAAAUUAUUUUUUUUAAAAUUAUUUUUAAUAUCAAUUUAUUAAAAUAAUCUACAAAUAUAAAACAAUAAUUUUAAAUAUAAUUUUUUUUAAUCAAUUUGAACCGCAAUCCGAAACAGGCACGAAAAAGAGGCAUUGAUGCACCUACUGUGAGUUAUUGCUAUUAUAUAAAUAGUUUUGCUUGUUGCAGCAUGUUGAGGUUCCAGUCCCUAGUGCCAAGGGAGACGAGGUUUUGCUCAAGUUAGAAGCAACUAGUCUAAACCCAGUCGACUGGAAGAUGCAGAAAGGGAUGCUGCGCCCCCUACUCCCUCGGAGAUUCCCUUACAUACCCGGUGAUUCACUUCUUUCUUUAUGUGGACUUUGAUUUUUAUAUGUAAUCUGACUCAGACACUAUCUUACUGCUUGUUAAGGCUUUUGAUUGCACAUAAAUUCCGCCAUAUAGCCUAAUCCACAGGGAAAUUGUUCUUUGUAAUGUUAGUUGAUUGCAUGAUUUUCUUCUUUUAGGUGCUUAAUCAUUAUUUUGAUUUGGAUUUAAGUUUGUAACGGUGUGGUGUUGCAUCUAAGAAACUUUGGAAACGGGUUUGGUGUUACUGUGGACCAUCUCAAUAGAAUCGUUUCCAUAUAAAUAUUAAAUAUUAGUUGUCAAUAUUUAAUAUUAAAUAUUAGUUGCCAAUUUGAUACUUUUAUGUUCCUUUGUUUAGCUUUCAGAAUGCGGAACUUGGAAACUGGCAUACCUUUGUCAUUUUUUUUAUGGUAUAUGACAAUGCAAAAGCAAUAAUCUUUACUUACCAUUUCAAACGUUUGACUUCAGUUCAGUGGUGUCAAAGUUUUGGGAAUUCGUGUUGGGGUGCUGUUUGGCAGGAGGUUUCCUUUCCAUGGUUACUCUGUCAGUUCCAGUGGCUUGUGGGUUCUUUACUUGGUCUCGUUUAAGCAAUGUAAAAGCUUAAAAAGAGGGUUCCUUGUUAAGAUUAGAUGGUUGUUGCAGUCACUGCUCUAGGACUUGCACCAUACUCUCUGUUCAAUGAACUGCCCCAUAUGUCAACAAAGAUCUACAAUUUUUAAAACAAGAUACAAAUGGAGAAACAACUGAUCUAAACUUUAUUUCCAGCACCCUUCUGAAAGAUAGCUUGUAAUCCAUGUGGUUAACAUUCUUUCAAUCUCAUGCUGAUAUAUUAAUUUCAUAGUUUUAGCAAUACUGUGUGUUUGCCAAGCACGCAUUCACACACACACACACAGCAUUCACUUUUUGGCUGAAGAAACCUUUGUCGCAACAGGCACUGAUGUGGCAGGAGAGGUUGUAGAGGUUGGACCAGGAGUAACAAAUUUCAAAACUGGUGACAAAGUUGUAGCUAUUCUAAGCCACCUUGUAAGUGCUCAUUCAAUAUUUUGGUGUUCUUUAUUUCCUUAUCUUCGUAAUAUUUCAAAUGAUUUACAUUGGUGAGGCGACCUCUAGAUUAUCUUUUUUUGGUUUAAUGGCUAUGUACACAAUUGGGGUCAACCUUACCCUCACUUGCGCCUUAAAUAAUGUCAUAUCAAAUAAGCCAGCUUGCAUCAACACGGCCUGAAGGUUACACGACAUGGAUGACUGGUUAUAAGCUAAAAAAUCAACAUGAAAGGGGGAUGGGGGUGAUUUGAAGAGUGAGAUAAUAAAAUUGUCGCGUUCAUCAUAUUAGAUAAAGCACAAGAAGAAAAUUGUUUUCAGGUAUUGACAGAGGUAUGAUUCAAUAACAAGUGCGAAUAAUUUAUAGCUAAAUCUGUCUAUUGUGUGAACAGCCAACCUUCAUGCCCUCAAUAUCUUUCAUGAAAGUGAACGGUGAAAUACAACUUUCAUCAAGGACUACUUGUUGUUUCUCUUCUCCAUAGGCAACUUAGUUUCCUCCCCUAAAAAGUAAAAUCAGAUAACUCUGUUUUGGACAUUUGCUCAGCUUCAAUGAAACACAAAAGCGAUACCUUAAUGUCGUCAUUGUAGCUACCUUUUUUGGAAAGAAAACAGAUCAAAGCCCUUGAUGCUUAUGAAUUUUUUUUACUAGUUUGUAGUAUUGCCAACUUGAGGCGCAUUAUAGAGGUUAGUUUGCUUAGAUGCCUUGCUCAUGGAUCUUGUAUACCAUUAAGUGUUACAUAGGAGUUUGGACCUGGGACUUGGCACAUGCUAUCUACUUAGUUGUACACAUAUGAAAAGUGCAUUUUAGCAUUUGGCAAUCUUAUGUGUAUGGAGGAAUUUUACCAUUGGUCUCUGAAUUUUGUUUCGUUCUGUUUCUUUGAUUAAUUGUUGUGUGCUCUAAAAACAACAGAGUGGAGGUGGACUAGCUGAAUUUGUAGUGGCUAAGAAGGGCUUGCCAGUUGCAAGGCCACCUGAAGUUUCAGCAGCUGAAGGUGCAGGCUUGCCUGUUGCUGGGCUCACAGCUCACCAGGCUGUCACUCAAUCUGCUGGGGUCAAGCUUGAUGGAAGUGGUAACCAGAAAAAUAUUCUGAUCACUGCUGCCUCAGGUGGUGUAGGUCACUAUGCAGUUCAGCUUGCAAAGCUUGGAAACACUCAUGUGACUGCCACUUGUGGGGCUCGUAACAUCGAAUUUGUGAAGAGCUUAGGUGCUGAUGAGGUUCUGGAUUACAAAACCCCAGAAGGAGCAGCUCUGAAGAGCCCAUCUGGUAAGAAAUAUGAUGCUGUGAUCCACUGCGCUGCUGGCGUUCCUUGGAGCACUUUUGAGCCAAAUCUGAGUGCAAAUGGGAAGGUUAUAGAUAUCACUCCUGGCCCCAGUGCCUUCAUGACUUUUGCUUUUAAGAAACUUACCUUCUCCAAGAAGCAGCUGGUGCCGCUGCUUUUGAUUCCCAAUGGUGAGAACCUGAAUUAUCUUGUUAAUCUGGUAAAGGAAGGGAAGCUUAAAACAGUCAUCGACUCAAAGCAUCCAUUAAGCAGGGCUGAAGAUGCUUGGGCAAAGAGUAUCGACAGUCAUGCUACUGGGAAGAUCAUUGUGGAGCCGUGAAUGAAAAUAAUGUGCUUGAAUUGCUAAAAUUUCUGCAACUGUGAGGUCUUUCCUGUACAAUGUGGAUCCGAUGGCAUACACAGCUGAUGAGGCAUUGUAUGAUGCGUGAUCUUGCACACCAAUUUCUUUUGACUGGAUGUUUCCCUAAAUGAUAGGGUUUGGGUUGAGUUUAUUAACUAUUGAUUAUGUUUGUUCUUCAAUAUCAGAUGCUUUUUUUUUCAUUUUGGUGUUAUUUUAUUUAAUGACGUGAGACUCACCCAUAUGGGCCAAUUCUAGGUAUAUUUUGUCGUCUAGAGAAUUGAUGUCCUAUGUUGCAGGGGACAUUUCCACUAACUAUAACUAUGAAAAGCUAAAUACGACAAAAAGGUGAUCACUUAGGUUUUUUUUUUAUUUUUUAUUUGGAGACCUGAUGAUGAGAGAGAAAGCCUGAAGAGAUUUUUGAGAGAGAAUUGGGCUAACGGAGCUAUAACUCCGCCACCCACUGUUGUUAAGAGAAAUCAUUGUUGGUAUUUUACUGGAAAAACUGAUUUCGAGGCAGCCAUAUUCGUCAGGUUGGUGCUCCUCCAGUCACCGUUAGAUCUGUACCAUAUUGCUUAGAGAGGUUCACUUGGGUAUCCUUUUUGUUCUUAACGGUGGAGAUCAGAUUUGCACAACUUUGGAAUUGGAUGACCAAACCAUUGAUGCCAAACUCCAUGGCAAAGUUUAUGAUAAAUAACACUUGAGAACUAUAGUUAGAGGGUUGGUAUUGAAGUAGGUACAAACCAUUUUUAAUUGUUCUGGAUAUAAGAAUAACUUUAAAAAAUAAGAUGAAAGUGAUUAUGAAAUUUAAAGAAAACAUUAUUAUCUAAAGCAAAUUAUCUUAUAGAAAAAAUGAAUUUCAUGAUUAGAGUCAUGUGAGGUUAAAUUAUUAUUAUUAUUAUUAUUUUGUUUAAAAAAAAUGGUAUAAAUUGUGUUCACAGCAAACAAAACAGGCAUAAAUUCCUUGGGGGCAUAGUUUGAAUAUAAGCUAAGUCUAACAGAGCUAAACCAAUAUGCUUCGAUAAACCUAAAUGAGAUUGACUAGACUUGUUUAAAGGGAAAGCUAUUUAAUUAAAAUGAUAAUUACCCGAGGAAAAAUCAGAAGAGCCUUAUUAGAGAGAAUUUAAUGCAAGAUAGGAGAAUAUGGAUGACCAAACCAUUGAUGCCAAACUCCAUGACAAAGUUUAUGAUAGAUAACACUUGAGGACCAUAGUUAGAGGGUUGGUAUUGAAGUAGGUACAAACCAUUUUUAAUUGUUCUGAACAUAAGAAUAACUUUAAAAAAUAAAAUGAAAGUGAUUAUGAAAUUUAAAGAAAACAUUAUUAUCUAAAGCAAAUUACCUUAUAGAAAAAAUAAAUUUCAUGAUUAGAGUCAUGUGAGGUUAAAUUAUUAUUAUUAUUAUUUUGUUUAAAAAAAAUGGUAUAAAUUGUGUUCACAACAAACAAAACAGGCAUAAAUUCCUAGGGGGCAUAGGUUGAAUAUAAGCUAAGUCUAACAGAGCUAAACCAAUAUGCUUCGAUAAACCUAAAUGAGAUUGACUAGACUUGUUUAAAGGGAAAACUAUUUAAUUAAAAUGAUAAUUACCCGAGGAAAAAUCAGAAGAGCCUUAUUAGAGAGAAUUUAAUGCAAGAUAUGAGAAUAUGGAUGACCAAACCAUUGAUGCCAAACUUCAUGAUAAAGUUUAUGAUAGAUAACACUUGAGGACCAUAGUUAGAGGGUUGGUAUUGAAGUAGGUACAAACCAUUUUUAAUUGUUCUGAACAUAAGAAUAACUUUAAAAAAUAAAAUAAAAGUGAUUAUGAAAUUUAAAGAAAACAUUAUUAUCUGAAGCAAAUUACCUUAUAGAAAAAAUGAAUUUCAUGAUUAGAGUCAUGUGAGGUUAAAUUAUUAUUAUUAUUAUUAUUAUUUUGUUUAAAAAAAAUGGUAUAAAUUGUGUUCACAACAAACAAAACAGGCAUAAAUUUCUAGGGGGGAUAGUUUGAAUAUAAGCUAAGUCUAACAGAGCUAAACCAAUAUGCUUCGAUAAACCUAAAUGAGAUUGACUAGACUUGUUUAAAGGGAAAGCUAUUUAAUUAAAAUGAUAAUUACUCGAGAAAAAAUCAGAAUAGCCUUAUUAGAGAGAAUUUAAUGCAAUAUACGAGAAUAUGGAUGACUAAACCAUUGAUGCCAAACUCCAUGACAAAGUUUAUGAUAAAUAACACUUGAGGACUAUAGUUAGAGGGUUGGUAUUGAAGUAGGUACAAACUAUUUUUAAUUGUUCUAGAUAUAAGAAUAACUUUAAAAAAUAAGAUGAAAGUAAUUAUGAAAUUUAAAGAAAAUAUUAUUAUCUAAAGCAAAUUAUUUUAUAGAAAAAAAAAAUUUCAUGAUUAGAGUCAUGUGAGGUUAAAUUAUUAUUAUUAUUAUUAUUAUUUUGUUUAAAAAAAAUGGUAUAAAUUGUGUUCACAACAAACAAAACAGACAAAAAUUCCUAGGGGGCAUAGUUUGAAUAUAAGCUAAGUCUAACAGAGCUAAACCAAUAUGCUUCGAUAAACCUAAAUGAGAUUGACUAGACUUGUUUAAAGGGAAAACUAUUUAAUUAAAAUGAUAAUUACCCGAGGAAAAAUCAGAAGAGCCUUAUUAGAGAGAAUUUAAUGCAAGAUAUGAGAAUAUGGAUGACCAAACCAUUGAUGCCAAACUCCAUGACAAAGUUUAUGAUAGAUAACACUUGAGGACCAUAGUUAGAGGGUUGAUAUUGAAGUAGGUACAAACCAUUUUUAAUUGUUCUGGACAUAAGAAUAACUUUAAAAAAUAAAAUGAAAGUGAUUAUGAAAUUUAAAGAAAAUAUUAUUAUUUUAAAAAAUUAUCUUAUAAAAAAAAUGAAUUUCAUGAUUAGAGGCAUGUGAAGUUAAAUUAUUAUUAUUAUUAUUAUUAUUAUCUUUAAAAAAAAUGAUAUAAAUUAUGUUCACAGUAAAUAAGCAAAUAAAACAGACAUAAAUUUUUAGGGGGAUUGUUAUAACCGACUUGUAUUUUGUCCUUUCCAUUAAUACAAAAAAAAAAGAUACCAAAAGUUUGUCGUUUCCCGUUAGGCAGACAUGUGGAACACAGUACGCCUUUCUUAUAUCUCUUUUAAGUUUAACCGUUAAAGCCACCACCUCCUCUCCUGCCAGUUCCUAUUACGCUCCACCUCUUUUUUCUUCUCUUCUUUCCGUGCCCAGUUUUUUUUCCUUCUGUUUCUCUGAUAACAGCGGCGUCGCUUCUACUGGAUAUGGCGGGGAAGCUGAUGCAUGCCGUUCAGUAUAGCACCUAUGGAGGAGGCGCCGCUGGUUUAAAGGUUAAUUGUUUUUUUAACCAAAUUUUGGUAGCGUAAUUAUAUGUCCCUUUUCUUUUCUUUGAUCACCAUUUAGUUAGUUAGUAAUUGUUGAAACAUGGAGAUGAAUUAUAGAUUGUUGCCCCCAUUUCUUUUUGUUUCUAAAUUAAAUAAUAAUAAUGGUGGUGGUGGUGGUGGAGGAGGAGAAGGAUUAGAUGUAAUGUGAGUUUUGCUUUAAUUUUUGAUAAAAUAGUUAAAUAAUAAAGGUGUUUGAAAGUGUGAAAUUGUUAUUUUUAAAAUAUUUCUUUUAAAAAUAUGUUAAAAUAAUUUUUUUUAAUAUCAAAUUAUUAAAAUAAUAAAAUAUAAAACAAUAUAUAUAUAUAUAUUAAAUCAAUUUGAACCGCAAUCCGAAACACGCACGAAAAAGAGGCAUUGAUGCACCUACUGUGAGUUACUG
Molecule: long non-coding RNA, 7209 nt
Filed under: Populus trichocarpa (black cottonwood)
Lineage: Eukaryota; Viridiplantae; Streptophyta; Magnoliopsida; Malpighiales; Salicaceae
Description: long non-coding RNA (PTRI_LNC000340)
Source: RNAcentral